RNAcentral lists this ribosomal RNA (159 nucleotides) under Leachia sp. 42_WH383. RNAcentral describes it as "partial small subunit ribosomal RNA". Lineage: Eukaryota; Metazoa; Mollusca; Cephalopoda; Oegopsida; Cranchiidae. The record is from RNAcentral.
UUUCCCGCGCCUCCCUUGCUUUCAAUGGUUUCGGCCUCGGUUGGCUCGGGGUCAAAGGACGGCGCGCUCCGCUUUGGUGACUCUGGAUAACUCACUGGUCGAUCGCACGGGCUUCCACGCCCGGCGACGGGUCCCUCGAGGGUCCACCCUAUCAACGUG